RNAcentral lists this ribosomal RNA (504 nucleotides) under uncultured Acidobacteriaceae bacterium. RNAcentral describes it as "bacterial SSU rRNA". It matches the Rfam family "Bacterial small subunit ribosomal RNA", at positions 8 to 492 of the family's 1533-position model. Lineage: Bacteria; Pseudomonadati; Acidobacteriota; Terriglobia; Terriglobales; Acidobacteriaceae. The record is from RNAcentral.
AGAGUUUGAUCAUGGCUCAGAAUCAACGCUGGCGGCGUGCCUAACACAUGCAAGUCGAACGCGAAAGGGGCUUCGGCCCUGAGUAGAGUGGCGAACGGGUGAGUAACGCGUGGGUGAUCUACCUUCGAGUGGGGGAUAACGUUCCGAAAGGAGCGCUAAUACCGCAUGACGUUCUGGAUUUGAACAUCUGGAAACCAAAGCCGGGGACCGCAAGGCCUGGCGCUUGGAGAGGAGCCCGCGUCUGAUUAGCUAGUUGGCGGGGUAACGGCCCACCAAGGCGACGAUCAGUAGCCGGCCUGAGAGGGCGGACGGCCACACUGGGACUGAGACACGGCCCAGACUCCUACGGGAGGCAGCAGUGGGGAAUUGUUCGCAAUGGGCGCAAGCCUGACGACGCAACGCCGCGUGGGGGAUGAAGGUCUUCGGAUUGUAAACCCCUGUCGAGCGGGACGAAUAGCCCGCGACCUAAUACGUCGUGGGAAUGACGGUACCGCUAAAGAAGCC